Molecule: small RNA, 150 nt
Filed under: Chrysemys picta bellii (western painted turtle)
Lineage: Eukaryota; Metazoa; Chordata; Testudines; Emydidae
Description: TUC338 (ENSCPBG00000008233.1)
Source: RNAcentral
GUGUCAGCCCUAAAGCCCAACAUCUCCUAGCCACAGUCAGACUGGGGCACUGGUAACUUCCCCACACUGCCCUGCUAACAUGCUUCAAGCCUGACCUGGAAGGACCGUUUCUAAGGAAAGAUAGGUCAUUUCCCAUACACAGUCGCUCCU